RNAcentral lists this ribosomal RNA (301 nucleotides) under uncultured bacterium. RNAcentral's name for it is "partial 16S ribosomal RNA". It matches the Rfam family "Bacterial small subunit ribosomal RNA", at positions 509 to 807 of the family's 1533-position model. The record is from RNAcentral.
CAGCCGCCGCGGUAAAACGAAGGGUGCAAGCGUUAAUCGGAAUUACUGGGCGUAAAGCGUGCGUAGGCGGUUUGUUAAGUCUGCUGUGAAAUCCCCGGGCUCAACCUGGAAAUGGCAGUGGAUACUGGCAAGCUAGAGUGUGUCAGAGGAUGGUGGAAUUCCCGGUGUAGCGGUGAAGUGCGUAGAGAUCGGGAGGAACAUCAGUGGCGAAGGCGGCCAUCUGGGACAACACUGACGCUGAGGCACGAAAGCGUGGGGAGCAAGCAGGAUUAGAUACCCGCGUAGUCCCUGUCUCUUAUAC